Glycine soja is the source of this 360-nucleotide long non-coding RNA. RefSeq lists it as uncharacterized. The record is from RefSeq and is a predicted model, not a curated record. The transcript is spliced from 2 exons. Lineage: Eukaryota; Viridiplantae; Streptophyta; Magnoliopsida; Fabales; Fabaceae.
AGUUUGAGUAUGGAUAAUUGAAGUGGGGCAUGAGUGGGAUGGUACAGAGUACAGACAGAGACAGAGCACUCAUUGUCAUAAUAAUAGUAGCGAUCCAACAGUGAAUAAUGAUCUUUCUUCGCCAUUCUCGGAUGUACAAAGCUUCACACUGACUCACUUUAUCUGGUUCGCAAAGGUUGGGGCUGCUUAUCUUAAAUUGCAGGGACAUGUGGGUUUGCUGUGGAAAUUGGUUGUGCAUUUUCAGCCCAUAGCAAGUUUAGUGGCCUGGGCAGUAAAUAAGCAAACACAAAAUUUGUACACACAUUUCCCCCUCAAUAUCCAAUUAAUUUUUUUAUAAAGAUUGUUAAUUAUUUUCAUUUC